This 492-nucleotide ribosomal RNA is filed under the name uncultured bacterium. Its description in RNAcentral is "partial 16S ribosomal RNA". It matches the Rfam family "Bacterial small subunit ribosomal RNA", at positions 29 to 507 of the family's 1533-position model. The record is from RNAcentral.
AGUGAACGCUGGCGGUAGGCCUAACACAUGCAAGUCGAACGGCAGCACAGUAAGAGCUUGCUCUUACGGGUGGCGAGUGGCGGACGGGUGAGGAAUACAUCGGAAUCUACUUUUUCGUGGGGGAUAACGUAGGGAAACUUACGCUAAUACCGCAUACGACCUACGGGUGAAAGCAGGGGAUCUUCGGACCUUGCGCGAUUGAAUGAGCCGAUGUCGGAUUAGCUAGUUGGCGGGGUAAAGGCCCACCAAGGCGACGAUCUGUAGCUGGUCUGAGAGGAUGAUCAGCCACACUGGAACUGAGACACGGUCCAGACUCCUACGGGAGGCAGCAGUGGGGAAUAUUGGACAAUGGGCGCAAGCCUGAUCCAGCCAUACCGCGUGUGUGAAGAAGGCCUUCGGGUUGUAAAGCCCUUUUGUUGGGAAAGAAAAGCAGCAGGUUAAUACCCCGCUGUUCUGACGGUACCCAAAGAAUAAGCACCGGCUAACUUCGUG